Non-coding RNA from Podarcis lilfordi (Lilford's wall lizard), 73 nucleotides. Lineage: Eukaryota; Metazoa; Chordata; Lepidosauria; Squamata; Lacertidae. The record is from the annotation of a GenBank genome assembly.
GUCCGUAGCUCAGUGGUAGAGCAUCUCCUUCACAUGCAGAAGGUCCCAGGUUCAAACCCCUGCUUCUUCAGCU